GAUGAACGCUGGCGGCGUGGAUAAGGCAUGCAAGUCGAGUGGGUUUAGACCCACGGCGAACGAGGUAGUAACACGUAGGCACACACCCUGAAGUUGGGCAUAACUAGCCGAAAGGUUAGAUAAUUCCCAAUAGUCUCUAAGGAGUAAAGUUUUAACGCUUUAGGAGUGGCCUGCGGGAUAUCAGCUAGUUGGUAGGGUAACGGCCUACCAAGGCUAUGACGUCUAGGGGAGCUGAGAGGCUGACCCCCACCGAUGGUACUGAGAUACGGACCAUACACCUACGGGUGGCCGCAGUCGAGAAUCUUCCGCAAUGGGCGCAAGCCUGACGGAGCGACGCCGCGUGAUCGAUGAAGUUCUUCGGAAUGUAAAGAUCUUUUAUAAGGGAGAAAGUUUAUUGAUAGUACCUUAUGAAUAAGGGGUUGCUAAACUCGUGCCAGCAGCAGCGGUAAUACGAGUGCCCCAAGCGUUAUCCGGAAUCACUGGGCGUAAAGGGUGUGUAGGCGGUCAUGUUAGUCUCAUGUCAAA
This 525-nucleotide ribosomal RNA is filed under the name uncultured bacterium. RNAcentral's name for it is "bacterial SSU rRNA". It matches the Rfam family "Bacterial small subunit ribosomal RNA", at positions 28 to 599 of the family's 1533-position model. The record is from RNAcentral.